RNAcentral lists this ribosomal RNA (792 nucleotides) under Pirellulales bacterium. RNAcentral describes it as "bacterial SSU rRNA". It matches the Rfam family "Bacterial small subunit ribosomal RNA", at positions 1 to 803 of the family's 1533-position model. Lineage: Bacteria; Pseudomonadati; Planctomycetota; Planctomycetia; Pirellulales. The record is from RNAcentral.
AAAUUGAAGGGUUUGAUCCUGGCUCAGAAUGAACGUUGGCGGCGUGGAUUAGGCAUGCAAGUCGCGCGAGAAGCCUCCUUCGGGAGAGGGAAAGCGGCGAAAGGGAGAGUAACGCGUGGAUAACCUGCCCUUGGGUCUGGGAUAGCCGUGGGAAACUGCGGGUAAUACCAGAUAACAUCUCCGGAUCAAAGGUGUGAUUCCGCCCGAGGAGGGGUCCGCGUCCUAUUAGCUUGUUGGUGGGGUAAUGGCCUACCAAGGCGAUGAUGGGUACCGGGCGUGAGAGCGUGGCCCGGCUCACUGGGACUGAGACACUGCCCAGACACCUACGGGUGGCUGCAGUCGAGAAUCUUCGGCAAUGGGCGAAAGCCUGACCGAGCGACGCCGCGUGCGGGAUGAAGGCCUUCGGGUUGUAAACCGCUGUCAGAGGGGAGGAAAUCUUAGAGGGUUCUCCCUCUAAGUUGACCUAUCCUCAGAGGAAGUCCGGGCUAAGUUCGUGCCAGCAGCCGCGGUAAGACGAACCGGACAAACGUUAUUCGGAAUCACUGGGCUUAAAGGGUGCGUAGGCGGUAUGGAAAGUUGGAUGUGAAAUCCCUCGGCUCAACCGAGGAAUUGCGUCCAAAACUGCCAUGCUCGAGGGAGGCAGAGGUGAGCGGAACUUAGGGUGGAGCGGUGAAAUGCGUUGAUAUCCUAAGGAACACCGGUGGCGAAAGCGGCUCACUGGGCCUUUUCUGACGCUGAGGCACGAAAGCUAGGGGAGCGAACGGGAUUAGAUACCCCGGUAGUCCUAGCUGU